Molecule: ribosomal RNA, 497 nt
Filed under: uncultured bacterium
Lineage: Bacteria
Description: partial 16S ribosomal RNA
Rfam family: Bacterial small subunit ribosomal RNA
Source: RNAcentral
GAUGAACGCUGGCGGCGUGCCUAAUACAUGCAAGUCGAGCGAACGGACGAGAAGCUUGCUUCUCUGAUGUUAGCGGCGGACGGGUGAGUAACACGUGGAUAACCUACCUAUAAGACUGGGAUAACUUCGGGAAACCGUAGCUAAUACCGGAUAAUAUUUUGAACCGCAUGGUUCAAAAGUGAAAGACGGUCUUGCUGUCACUUAUAGAUGGAUCCGCGCUGCAUUAGCUAGUUGGUAAGGUAACGGCUUACCAAGGCAACGAUGCAUAGCCGACCUGAGAGGGUGAUCGGCCACACUGGAACUGAGACACGGUCCAGACUCCUACGGGAGGCAGCAGUAGGGAAUCUUCCGCAAUGGGCGAAAGCCUGACGAAGCAACGCCGCGUGAGUGAUGAAGGUCUUCGGAUCGUAAAACUCUGUUAUUAGGGGAGAACAUAUGUGUAAGUAACUGUGCACAUCUUGACGGUACCUAAUCAGAAAGCCACGGCUAACUACGUG